GGGUCUGUAGUCUAAUGGUAGGACGCGACCCUCACACGGUCGAGAAUUGGGUUCGAUUCCCAACGGACCCA
RNAcentral lists this transfer RNA (71 nucleotides) under Candidatus Omnitrophota bacterium. RNAcentral describes it as "tRNA-Val". It matches the Rfam family "tRNA". Rfam says of the family: Transfer RNA (tRNA) molecules are approximately 80 nucleotides in length. Their secondary structure includes four short double-helical elements and three loops (D, anti-codon, and T loops). Further hydrogen bonds mediate the characteristic L-shaped molecular structure. tRNAs have two regions of fundamental functional importance: the anti-codon, which is responsible for specific mRNA codon recognition, and the 3' end, to which the tRNAs corresponding amino acid is attached (by aminoacyl-tRNA synthetases). tRNAs cope with the degeneracy of the genetic code in two manners: having more than one tRNA (with a specific anti-codon) for a particular amino acid; and 'wobble' base-pairing, i.e. permitting non-standard base-pairing at the 3rd anti-codon position. The record is from RNAcentral. Lineage: Bacteria; Pseudomonadati; Candidatus Omnitrophota.